Molecule: ribosomal RNA, 157 nt
Filed under: Garcinia staudtii
Lineage: Eukaryota; Viridiplantae; Streptophyta; Magnoliopsida; Malpighiales; Clusiaceae
Description: 5.8S ribosomal RNA
Rfam family: 5.8S ribosomal RNA
About the family: 5.8S ribosomal RNA (5.8S rRNA) is a component of the large subunit of the eukaryotic ribosome. It is transcribed by RNA polymerase I as part of the 45S precursor that also contains 18S and 28S rRNA.
Source: RNAcentral
CAAAACGACUCUCGGCAACGGAUAUCUUGGCUCUCGCAUCGAUGAAGAACGUAGCGAAAUGCGAUACGUGGUGUGAAUUGCAGAAUCCCGUGAACCAUCGAGUUUUUGAACGCAAGUUGCGCCCGAAGCCUUCUGGUUGAGGGCACGUCUGCCUGGG